AAAAUUAGCGGAUGACCUGUGGCUGGGGGUGAAAGGCCAAUCAAACCGGGAGAUAGCUGGUUCUCCCCGAAAGCUAUUUAGGUAGCGCCUCGUGAAUUCAUCUCCGGGGGUAGAGCACUGUUUCGGCUAGGGGGCCAUCCCGGCUUACCAACCCGAUGCAAACUGCGAAUACCGGAGAAUGUUAUCACGGGAGACACACGGCGGGUGCUAACGUCCGUCGUGAAGAGGGAAACAACCCAGACCGCCAGCUAAGGUCCCAAAGUCAUGGUUAAGUGGGAAACGAUGUGGGAAGGCCCAGACAGCCAGGAUGUUGGCUU
RNAcentral lists this ribosomal RNA (317 nucleotides) under Salmonella enterica subsp. enterica serovar Kentucky. RNAcentral's name for it is "partial 23S ribosomal RNA". It matches the Rfam family "Bacterial large subunit ribosomal RNA", at positions 793 to 1107 of the family's 2925-position model. Lineage: Bacteria; Pseudomonadati; Pseudomonadota; Gammaproteobacteria; Enterobacterales; Enterobacteriaceae. The record is from RNAcentral.